CUUUCGUUUAAUUUGAUUAAAAUACCAAAACCUUCUUCUCUCUCACACGAUGGAACCAAAGGAAGAAAUCAGACAUCCAUCUUCUUCCUCUGAUUUCUUCUUCCUCUAAUUCCUUUUGCAUUCUUCCUCUGAAUUCUUCCUCUGAUUUUCGAAAGAAGAACAACAGUUGGCCGUCUUCUCUGUCUUCGAUUUUCGAAGGAAGUGCAACAAUGGCUCUUGCUCCUUGAAUUUGAUUUUCGAAGAACAGAACCCAUCUUUUUCCCUUUGAUUUCUGGUAGUAAUACACAAAGAACAGCAUCAGGAUUUUAUCCCAUUGAAAUGGCAGCAUCACAGUAGCAGCCGAAACCCUUUCCUUUGAUCUAAAUUCUGCCGCAAACCAAGGAAGCCAAUACCAACCUUAUUUCUAUUGAUUUUGCAUCAAAUUCAAAUAACCUUAUUUCCUGUUCUUGAUUUCUGCCGCAAACAGAGACGAUUUCUCGGCGGAACCGUUCUAGCUGAUAUCUGUGAAUUGAACCCAACUCUUUGAAGCGUCGUCUUUGUUUGAUCACAGAUCGGGACCGGUCGGGAACGAUGGGUUAGCGGUGUUGAAUAACGUUCCAAGGAUGUAUAUUGAGCUGAGCACGUGGGAAUCUGUAGUUUUGUAUAAGGUUUUUGGAUAAAUGUAUAUUAGUCUUGGUUGUGUUGGUUAUAUUCAACUCGAAGUGAAUUGUAUGAUUACUUGUGUUUUAGUUAGAUGUUUGGUUUGAGAA
Molecule: long non-coding RNA, 749 nt
Organism: Amaranthus tricolor (Joseph's coat)
Lineage: Eukaryota; Viridiplantae; Streptophyta; Magnoliopsida; Caryophyllales; Amaranthaceae
Exons: 4
Source: RefSeq, a predicted model, not a curated record